This is a long non-coding RNA of Anopheles gambiae (African malaria mosquito), 589 nucleotides long. RefSeq lists it as uncharacterized. The transcript has 2 exons. Lineage: Eukaryota; Metazoa; Arthropoda; Insecta; Diptera; Culicidae. The record is from RefSeq and is a predicted model, not a curated record.
UCUGCGUAUUUUGUCAUGUUUAUUUUUUUCACAAUGUGGAUUAACUGACUUUUUCUCAUAUUUAUAUGAACAACUCGGAUUUUUUUGUAUUCAAUUGAAAAAGCAGACUUGCAAUUGGCGAGGUUUGAAUGUAUUUCACUUCGUCACAUGCCAGCUCGCAUAUCUGUCAAGUUAGAAUCGUAAACAAACACGGACAACCGCCCGUAAAGAUUGUGUGCAGAAUAAUCGUGAAAUUUUAUGUGAAAACUCGAGAAAAGGUAAGUGUUCUGUGCAUAUUUCAGUAAAUAAACUAUCUUUUAAUGCUUGAACACAUUAUUUCACAGGAAAAACAUCAUUUCAUCCCGAAAUUUGGCAACAUUCGUCCGAGUAUGGUUGAGCAGCUGUGUGUGUGUGUGUGUGUGUGUGUGUGUGUGUGUGUGUGUGUGUGUGUGUGUGUAUGCCGACGGAAUACGACGCCGUUUCUACAACAAUCACUAAAGCCGGCUGUGAUCGUGAUCGGCACAUUCUCAACUGGACCAACACACCGGUCGUUGUGUAUCUUCAAGCAAACCAACGUUGCCAUACACCACAAAAUAGCAUGGAAAGGAAA